RNAcentral lists this transfer RNA (69 nucleotides) under Pseudorimula sp. RSIO35641. RNAcentral describes it as "tRNA-Trp". Lineage: Eukaryota; Metazoa; Mollusca; Gastropoda; Lepetellida; Lepetodrilidae. The record is from RNAcentral.
AGAGCCUUAGGUUAAUGAAAACCGAGAACUUUCAAAGUUUUAGAUAGGUGCGGGGCUGCCUAGGUUCUG